Molecule: unclassified non-coding RNA, 1127 nt
Filed under: Homo sapiens (human)
Lineage: Eukaryota; Metazoa; Chordata; Mammalia; Primates; Hominidae
Description: CWC25 spliceosome associated protein (ENSG00000276761.2)
Source: RNAcentral
GCGGUGAGAUGACGCCCUCCCGGAAGUGACCUCUAGAGCGGUGGUGAAACUGGCAGUUGACGGCUCCUGGGACUAGAUCCCGCGAGAAUCUGAAGAAGAGCUGGCACCCGCAGACCCUCAGGAAUGUGGAGAAAGUGUGGAAGGCCGAGCAGAAGCAUGAGGCUGAGCGGAAGAAGAUUGAGGAGCUUCAGCGGGAGCUGCGAGAAGAGAGAGCCCGGGAAGAGAUGCAGCGCUAUGCGGAGGAUGUUGGGGCCGUCAAGAAAAAAGAAGAAAAGUUGGACUGGAUGUACCAGGGUCCUGGUGGGAUGGUGAACCGUGACGAGUACCUGCUGGGGCGCCCCAUUGACAAAUAUGUUUUUGAGAAGAUGGAGGAGAAGGAGGCAGGCUGCUCUUCUGAAACAGGACUUCUCCCAGGCUCUAUCUUUGCCCCAUCAGGUGCCAAUUCCCUUCUUGACAUGGCCAGCAAGAUCCGGGAGGACCCACUCUUCAUCAUCAGGAAGAAGGAGGAGGAGAAAAAACGAGAGGUAUUAAAUAAUCCAGUGAAAAUGAAGAAAAUCAAAGAAUUGUUGCAAAUGAGUCUGGAAAAAAAGGAGAAGAAGAAAAAGAAGGAGAAGAAAAAGAAGCACAAGAAACAUAAGCACAGAAGCUCGAGUAGUGAUCGUUCCAGCAGCGAGGAUGAGCACAGUGCAGGGAGGUGAGCAUGUGGCGACUGGCCUCCCUUCUCGUUGAUUCACUUGCUCAUUCACUCAUUCAUUCCACAGACAUGAACACCUGCCCUGUGCUGGAAGCUGCCAGGUACUGGGCAUUCAGUGAUGAACACUUGAACAUGGGCCCAGUGCCCACAGAGCUUGCCAUCUAAUGCUAGAGUUCCUUGGAGAUGCUAAAUAUCACAGAAGAAGAUGGCAAAUUCCUCCCCUGUUUUGUCCAAAGUCCCUGGAUAUGGCUUACAGGUCCGGAACUCUGACCGUAACCAGGGUCUUCAGGGUCCUCUGACAGCAGAGCAAAAGAGAGGGCAUGGGAUGAAGAACCAUUCCAGAUCCAGAAGCUCCUCCCACUCACCCCCAAGACAUGCCAGCAAGAAGAGCACCAGGGAAGCAGGGUCCCGGGACAGGAGGUCUCGAUCCCUG